CUGCAUUCAGUGACAUCACAAGGGUAGCUUGAAGUGGCCAUAUUGGGAGUAUUUACAUCAUAGAAACCAGAAAUGCUUUAAAUGUAGGCUUUGGAUCCUUUGCCCCUUUCUCCUCCCUCUGCAUCCAGCCCUACCAUUGUUUGUUUUUGGAGAGUAGCUGCAGAGAGUCCAUAGUGUAAAGAUAGCGUGAGGCCAGUGUAGAACCUUGAGAAACUGGGUCUUAGUGUUAUGCUUUGAAUUAUUAAGAUCAAGCUUUAUGGGAAACCUGCCCUACUUCUCUGGAGUUUUCAGUUAUGAGCAGAAAAUGGAAGACAACCAUGGUAUUAGGAAUUAUUUCAAAUGCCUCCUGGCUGUGCAAUCUGAAAGAAAAAAUAAAGAUCAAAUUUUAUGAAUUUGUCUUCUAUAAGCUUACUCAGGUUGGAGGAUGGAUGCUUCAUACAUAAAAAAAAUGAAAGGAUUAAGAUGGUUCCAUUAUUUUUCAUAAUGAACAGUCAUACAAUUCCAGGCCAACAUGAAGUUUUUCAAAAGGUACUCAGGAAAUAUUAUUGGAGAUUAGAAUCUAGUAUGAAUUUAAGAGAGAGCUUCCUGGAAAUGAUGUCCAAGAUGAGAAGGCAAGUUGAAAAUUGGUUGUAAUUGUUCAGUAUAAGAAAGAAACAAAGGAAAUUUCAGGCAUGUCUGAAAGUAAACAUAUAAGCGAAGGAGGAACACCUGGGUGAUUCAGUGGGUUAGGGAUCUGUCUUUGGCUCAGGUCUGGAUCCUGGGAUGUGUCCUCUGUUGGGCUCCUUGUUCAGCGGGGAUCCUGUUUCUCCCUCUGCCUGCCAUUCCCUUGCUUGUGUUUGCUCUGUCUCUGACAAAUAAAUAAA
RNAcentral lists this long non-coding RNA (863 nucleotides) under Vulpes vulpes (red fox). Its description in RNAcentral is "lncRNA (ENSVVUG00000021263.1)". The record is from RNAcentral. Lineage: Eukaryota; Metazoa; Chordata; Mammalia; Carnivora; Canidae.